UCCUACGGGAGGCAGCAGUGGGGAAUAUUGCACAAUGGGGGAAACCCUGAUGCAGCCAUGCCGCGUGUGUGAAGAAGGCCUUCGGGUUGUAAAGCACUUUCAGUAGGAAGGAAGGUAGUGUAGUUAACACCUGCACUAUUUGACGUUACCUACAGAAGAAGCACCGGCUAACUCCGUGCCAGCAGCCGCGGUAAUACGGAGGGUGCGAGCGUUAAUCGGAAUUACUGGGCGUAAAGCGCAUGCAGGCGGCCUGUUAAGUCAGAUGUGAAAGCCCGGGGCUUAACCUCGGAAUUGCAUUUGAAACUGGCAGGCUAGAGUCUUGUAGAGGGGGGUAGAAUUUCAGGUGUAGCGGUGAAAUGCGUAGAGAUCUGAAGGAAUACCAGUGGCGAAGGCGGCCCCCUGGACAAAGACUGACGCUCAGAUGCGAAAGCGUGGGGAGCAAACAGGAUUAGAUACCCUGGUAGUCCACGCCGUAAACGAUGUCUACUUGGAGGUUGUGGCCUUGAGCCGUGGCUUUCGGAGCUAACGCGUUAAGUAGACCGCCUGGGGAGUACGGUCGCAAGAUUAAAACUCAAAUGAAUUGACGGA
This 588-nucleotide ribosomal RNA is filed under the name uncultured bacterium. RNAcentral describes it as "bacterial SSU rRNA". It matches the Rfam family "Bacterial small subunit ribosomal RNA", at positions 337 to 917 of the family's 1533-position model. The record is from RNAcentral.